AUGUAUAUAUAAUGAGGCACAGUUCCCUGCGCCACCAUGCGGCCGCGUGGGUGCACUGCACCUGAAAAACUGGCACUACCGGUUUCAACCAAUCAUAGACGUCGAUUUCGGUCACGAGGUGCGUUGUUUCUAGAUGGGUCCGGUCGCCAUCUUUGUUGGCUAGUGUUUUGACUUGGGUUCUCGAGUUUUCGCCGAAAUUUGACUGAAAUUGACUCAUUCGAAGUCCAACGUCGGUGGAGAUCUAUGCCGCAAGUUCAGAAGAGGCUUUUGACGGUUUCUUCGGUUACUACAUCGGUAAAAACCCUAAAAAUACCCGGUUGGAUCGAUUGUACUACCUUCCGUGGGUCAGAUAUCACCAUCGUAUUUUUUUGUGUCGGCCAGGAGGUCGAUAAAAAAAGGGUUGGGGACACCUCCAGUACGGUCUGGGCUUACACCGAUGAGAUGGUUGGUCAGGGUGGAGCGAAGCCUCUUCACAGGAUCUGCUAUGCCACAUGUUGUCCUGGAGAUGUUGUUGAACUGAGCAUGAACUUGCUCUAAACCCUGUUCUCCCAGGAACCCCAAACCAAACUUCCACUUCCGGACACAAGGCACAACGUGGUACUCCAACAUGUGCAUCUUCACAGGUGCUGGACUGUGCUGCAGCCAGCCUGGAACACGGCCUCUGCCCUCUCAUCAUCAUCAUCACCAUCGCUGUACGCCAGCCACGCCAGCUUGUUCUCCUCCUCCUCCAGUUCCUCCUCGAGAGCGUCGGCUUUCACAUCCAGCUCCCGGGCUUCAUCGAUGGCAGCCACAUAUGCCUUGAACUUCCCAAGGUGCUCAUCGUUCAGCAGUUCCUCCUUAGUGAUGUCACCUUCCUCCAGGACUGCUGCCAGGUUGUCAAAGAUGGCGUCCUUGAGUGAUUCAACGUAGGCGCAAGGCAGAAGCUGUACUGUGCUGUCUGUUUUCCCCUUCACAGAAAAUGCAGGUGCCCUGUAGGGAUGCGGACCCUGUCCAGCUUCAGCUCUUGCAGCAUCCUCUGCAGCUCAUCCCGAGGAUGGAUUCGCAGUUCCUCCUUCAUCAGUGCUGCGGAGUCCCCACCACUGACCUCGGCCCUCACAUCCUGCAUCAGUUUUGCCCGUUUCCUG
This is a long non-coding RNA of Branchiostoma floridae (Florida lancelet), 1124 nucleotides long. RefSeq lists it as uncharacterized. The record is from RefSeq and is a predicted model, not a curated record. Lineage: Eukaryota; Metazoa; Chordata; Leptocardii; Amphioxiformes; Branchiostomatidae. The transcript is spliced from 5 exons.